GUCCCUGCCCUUUGUACACACCGCCCGUCGCUACUACCGAUUGAAUGGUUUAGUGAGAUCUUCGGAUUGGGGCCGGCGCGGUCGGCAACGGCCGCGGCGGAUCUCGAGAAGUUGCUCAAAUUUGAUCAUUUAGAGGAAGUAAAAGUCGUAACAAGGUUUCCGUAGGUGAACCUGCGGAAGGAUCAUUAGUGGGAGCUCUUCGGAGCCGUUCCCCGUGCACUCGGAUCGGCAGGGAGGGUGUAGACUGGGGCCGCCGUGGUGCCUUUCGACUCCCGUCGAGCAGUCUGCGCCGCAACUCUCCUGGCCAGGGGUUUGCCUGGGCCCUCGGUUGGUUAGGGGGGAGGCAAUUAAAGUGUUGGGUUCCUCCCUGCAGUUCACACUCCGAGGGUGUGGAUCUGCGGGGCUUCUCCCGCCCCGAACUGUUUUUGUCUUUGUUUUGGGUGGCGGUGGUAACGUUUUAAAAUGGCUAAGCCAUGACAACUUCUAACGGUGGACACCUCGGCUCGUGUACCGAUGAAGAGCGCAGCGAGCUGCGAUACCUAGUGUGAAUUGCAGAAUUCAGUGAAUCAUUGAGUCCUUGAACGCAAAUGGCGCUUUCGGUAAAGCCCGGAGCACGUCUGUCUGAGCGUCCCCUUCCAUGCGAUGGUGGUGUCCUGCGGCACGUUUGUACAUUACAGUUGGGGUGGUCGCCUAUACUAGUGCGUUGGGCGUCCCCUGAAGUGAGCGUUAGGUGUGUGGAACCUGCCAGCUGGCAGCCCGCGUCACACGGGUUUGCUUGCUGCUUUGGUUCUUUGUGGCGCUGCUGCCUCGAGAGGUUGUGUGCGUGUGGACCUCAGAUCAGUCGAGAUUACCCGCUGAAUUUAAGCAUAUCAAUAAGCGGAGGAAAAGAAACUAACCAGG
This 900-nucleotide ribosomal RNA is filed under the name Phakellia tropicalis. RNAcentral describes it as "eukaryotic LSU rRNA". The stretch from base 1 to 188 matches the Rfam family "Eukaryotic small subunit ribosomal RNA", at positions 1649 to 1831 of the family's 1831-position model. Lineage: Eukaryota; Metazoa; Porifera; Demospongiae; Axinellida; Axinellidae. The record is from RNAcentral.